GACGAACGCUGGCGGCGUGCUUAACACAUGCAAGUCGAACGGAAAGGCCCUGCUUUUGUGGGGUGCUCGAGUGGCGAACGGGUGAGUAACGCGUGAGUAACCUGCCCUUGACUUUGGGAUAACUUCAGGAAACUGGGGCUAAUACCGGAUAGGAGCUCCUGCUGCAUGGUGGGGGUUGGAAAGUUUCGGCGGUUGGGGAUGGACUCGCGGCUUAUCAGCUUGUUGGUGGGGUAGUGGCUUACCAAGGCUUUGACGGGUAGCCGGCCUGAGAGGGUGACCGGCCACAUUGGGACUGAGAUACGGCCCAGACUCCUACGGGAGGCAGCAGUGGGGAAUAUUGCACAAUGGGCGGAAGCCUGAUGCAGCAACGCCGCGUGCGGGAUGACGGCCUUCGGGUUGUAAACCGCUUUCGCCUGUGACGAAGCGUUAGUGACGGUAAUGGGUAAAGAAGCACCGGCUAACUACGUG
This 468-nucleotide ribosomal RNA is filed under the name uncultured bacterium. RNAcentral describes it as "partial 16S ribosomal RNA". It matches the Rfam family "Bacterial small subunit ribosomal RNA", at positions 28 to 507 of the family's 1533-position model. The record is from RNAcentral.